ACGGCUAUCGGAUACGACUUAGCCAUGCGAGUCACAGGAAAGCAACCCACUGGCGGAGUGUUAGUAAACGUAGCUAACCUACCCUCAGGUCGAAGAACCCUCGGGAAAUGAGGCUAAUCCCAGAUAGGCACCGCUUUCCGAACGUCCGGGUCCAAAGCUCCGGCGCCCAGGACGGACUGCGGCCGAUUAGGUUGUUGGCGAGGUAACAGCCCACCAAGCCGACGAUCGGUACGGGCAGUGAGAGCUGUAGCCCGGAGAUGGGGACUGAGACAAGGCCCCAGGCCCUACGGAGCGCAGCAGGCGCGAAACCUUCACAAUGCUCGAAAGAGUGAUGAGGGUACUCCGAGUGCCUAUGCUUCGCAUAGGCUUUUCUCCAGCGUAAAUAGUUGGAGGAAUAAGGGGCUGGGGCAAGACCGGUGCCAGCCGCCGCGGUAACACCGGCAGCCCAAGUGGGUGACCGUUUUUAUUGGGCCUAAAGCGUUCGUAGCCGGACAAGCAAGUCUUUGGGUAAAUCCUACGUCCCAAGCGUGGGAAUUCUAAAGAUACUACCUGUCUUGAGGCCGGGAGAGGCUAGAGGUACUCCUGGGGGUAGGGGGUAAAAUCCUAUAAUCCCCGGGGGGACCACCGAUGGCGAAGGCAUCUAGCUGGAACGGGCCUGACGGUGAGGGACGAAACCCAGGGGAGCGAGCCGGAUUAGAUACCCGGGUAGUCCUGGGCGUAAAUGAUGUGGGGCUUGGGGGGUGAGUGCAUCGACGAGGUGCCCUUG
RNAcentral lists this ribosomal RNA (766 nucleotides) under uncultured archaeon. RNAcentral describes it as "bacterial SSU rRNA". It matches the Rfam family "Archaeal small subunit ribosomal RNA", at positions 26 to 798 of the family's 1478-position model. The record is from RNAcentral.